AGCUGCUCUCUGAAAUGAUGAGAACUUUAUCGAACCGAUUUUUUUUAGGAAGAGCCGGAAGAGGUAUGACAUGUUGGGAAGAAAUAAAAAUAUCUUCGACCCCUUGUCGUCGGUGCUUAUAAAGGUUCUGCUGAGAGGAGUUUUGCA
RNAcentral lists this small nucleolar RNA (147 nucleotides) under Penicilliopsis zonata CBS 506.65. RNAcentral describes it as "A. fumigatus snoRNA Afu_198". It matches the Rfam family "A. fumigatus snoRNA Afu_198". The record is from Rfam by way of RNAcentral. Lineage: Eukaryota; Fungi; Ascomycota; Eurotiomycetes; Eurotiales; Aspergillaceae.